RNAcentral lists this ribosomal RNA (708 nucleotides) under Spasskogammarus spasskii. RNAcentral's name for it is "eukaryotic LSU rRNA". It matches the Rfam family "Eukaryotic large subunit ribosomal RNA", at positions 315 to 664 of the family's 3401-position model. Lineage: Eukaryota; Metazoa; Arthropoda; Malacostraca; Amphipoda; Anisogammaridae. The record is from RNAcentral.
GCUAAAUAUUUCCACAGGACCGAUAGCAAACAAGUACCGUGAGGGAAAGUUGAAAAGCACUCUGAAGAGAGAGUCAAAAGACCGUGAAACCGCUCAGGGUAUAAGCCCAUGGUGAUUUGGAAGGCAAUAACGCACUAGCCUGAGGGUCUGUCAUUUUACGAUGGAAAGAACUGUCAUGUACACGCACUUGGGAGGUAAGAGGUCUACUUCGUUCAUAGUCUCUGCCGGCCGGGAGUCGAGUUGGGAGUCGUUGGCUGCGUGUCAAAGCGUUUGUUCUCGGCUCUCGCUCUUCUCUUAUGUCGACCCUCCAGGAGGUGGGACUAGCAUGACUGCGUUAAUUAUGCCCACCACAACACGUUGUGAGGUCACCCACAGGCUCGACUGUCGAUUGCGUAUUCAUUUCCGGGCAGGCUGCGGCAGAGUCGUUACCAUGAGAGGUUCGGCGAUGCAGCUCUGUUCGGGGUGGGUCGGGCGACGACUGAGUUCUGGUAUGAUCCUCUUGCGACGCGUUGUUUUCUGACCUUAACAGUUCGCCGCGGUUUCACCUUGUCGUGUUUCCGUGUGUUAUCCAGAGUUUGUACAUCCCUCGCUGUCAUUCUGGAAGGCAGUUUGAAGUCCCCUGAUGGAUUUAACCAUCAAGGCCUCUGCCGCGAAAUUGUUGAGUGUGGUGUAAAGUCCAAAGCCAUCGGUCACGUCUCGAAACACGGG